AGAGUUUGAUCAUGGCUCAGAACGAACGCUGGCGGCGUGGAUAAGACAUGCAAGUCGAACGGGAUUUCAUUUGUAGCAAUACACGUGAAGUUCAGUGGCGUAAGGGUGCGUAACACGUGGGCAAUCUGCCGAGAAGUGGGGGAUAGCUCGCCGAAAGGCGAAUUAAUACCGCAUGUGGUUAGUGCUGGAUUCAGCGCGACACCAAAGCCGGGGCAACCUGGCGCUUCUUGAUGAGCCCGCGGCCUAUCAGCUAGUUGGUGAGGUAACGGCUCACCAAGGCUAUGACGGGUAGCUGGUCUGAGAGGACGACCAGCCACACUGGAACUGAGACACGGUCCAGACACCUACGGGUGGCAGCAGUCGAGAAUUUUUCUCAAUGGGGGAAACCCUGAAGGAGCGACGCCGCGUGGAGGAUGAAGGUCUUCGGAUUGUAAACUCCUGUCAUUUGGGAACAAUUGUUGGCGAUUAACUGUCGUCAGCUUGAUAGUACCAGAAGAGGAAGAGACGGCUAACUCUGUGCCAGCAGCCGCGGUAAUACAGAGGUCUCAAGCGUUGUUCGGAUUCAUUGGGCGUAAAGGGUGCGUAGGUGGCGAGGUUAGUCAGGUGUGAAAUCUCGGGGCUCAACCCCGAAACUGCACUUGAUACUGCCUUGCUAGAGUACUGGAGAGGAGAUUGGAAUUUACGGUGUAGCAGUGAAAUGCGUAGAUAUCGUAAGGAAGACCAGUGGCGAAGGCGAAUCUCUGGACAGUUACUGACACUGAGGCACGAAGGCCAGGGGAGCAAACGGGAUUAGAUACCCUAGUAGUCC
RNAcentral lists this ribosomal RNA (808 nucleotides) under uncultured bacterium. RNAcentral's name for it is "bacterial SSU rRNA". It matches the Rfam family "Bacterial small subunit ribosomal RNA", at positions 8 to 796 of the family's 1533-position model. The record is from RNAcentral.